This 426-nucleotide ribosomal RNA is filed under the name uncultured Streptococcus sp. Its description in RNAcentral is "bacterial SSU rRNA". It matches the Rfam family "Bacterial small subunit ribosomal RNA", at positions 959 to 1382 of the family's 1533-position model. Lineage: Bacteria; Bacillati; Bacillota; Bacilli; Lactobacillales; Streptococcaceae. The record is from RNAcentral.
ACGAACGUAACCUUACCGUAGGUUCGUUCGACACUCCGAUGUCUUAUUUCUAGAGAUAGAAGUUACUUCGGUACAUCGGUGACAGGUGGUGCAUGGUUGUCGUCAGCUCGUGUCGUGAGAUGUUGGGUUAAGUCCCGCAACGAGCGCAACCCCUAUUGUUAGUUGCCAUCAUUCAGUUGGGCACUCUAGCGAGACUGCCGGUAAUAACCGGAGGAAGUGGGGAUGACGUCAAAUCAUCAUGCCCCUUAUGACCUGGGCUACACACGUGCUACAAUGGUUGGUACAACGAGUUGCGAGUCGGUGACGGCGAGCUAAUCUCUUAAAGCCAAUCUCAGUUCGGAUUGUAGGCUGCAACUCGCCUACAUGAAGUCGGAAUCGCUAGUAAUCGCGGAUCAGCACGCCGCGGUGAAUACGUUCCCGGGCCUU